GUGCUCACUUUGGCAGCACAUAUACUAAAAUUGGCACGAUACAGAGAAGAUUAACACGGCCCCUGAGCAAGGAUGACAUGCAAAUUUGUGAAGUGUUCCAUAUUUUU
This is a small nuclear RNA of Dipodomys ordii (Ord's kangaroo rat), 107 nucleotides long. NCBI's taxonomy places the organism in Eukaryota, Metazoa, Chordata, Mammalia, Rodentia, Heteromyidae. The record is from Ensembl.